This 611-nucleotide ribosomal RNA is filed under the name Basidiomycota sp. 1 HFP-2013. RNAcentral's name for it is "eukaryotic LSU rRNA". It matches the Rfam family "Eukaryotic large subunit ribosomal RNA", at positions 54 to 654 of the family's 3401-position model. The record is from RNAcentral. Lineage: Eukaryota; Fungi; Basidiomycota.
GAGAAAAGAAACUAACUAGGAUUCCCUUAGUAACGGCGAGUGAACCGGGAUGAGCUCAAAUUUUGAAAUCUGGCGUCUUUCAGGCGUCCGAGUUGUAAUCUAUAGAGGCGUUUUCCGCGCCGGACCGCGUCCAAGUCUCUUGGAAUAGAGUAUCAAAGAGGGUGACAAUCCCGUACUUGACGCGACAACCGGUGCUCUGUGAUACGUUCUCAAUGAGUCGAGUUGUUUGGGAAUGCAGCUCUAAAUGGGUGGUAAAUUCCAUCUAAGGCUAAAUAUUGGCGAGAGACCGAUAGCGAACAAGUACCGUGAGGGAAAGAUGAAAAGCACUUUGGAAAGAGAGUUAAACAGCACGUGAAAUUGUUAAAAGGGAAACGAUUGAAGUCAGUCGUGUGGGAAGUAUUCAGCCGUCUCUGGCGGUGUAUUUGCUUCUCACGGGUCAACAUCAGUUUGAUCCGGUAGAAAAAGGCGGGAAGAAGGUGGCACCCUCGGGUGUGUUAUAGCUUCCUGUCAUAUGUGCCGGACCAGACUGAGGAACGCAGCUAGCAGCAAUGCCGGGGUUCGCCCACGUACAAGCUUAGGAUGUUGACAUAAUGGCUUUAAACGACCCGUCU